This 372-nucleotide ribosomal RNA is filed under the name uncultured bacterium. RNAcentral describes it as "bacterial SSU rRNA". It matches the Rfam family "Bacterial small subunit ribosomal RNA", at positions 524 to 898 of the family's 1533-position model. The record is from RNAcentral.
UACGGAGGGUGCAAGCGUUGUCCGGAUUUAUUGGGUUUAAAGGGUGCGUAGGCGGCCCGUUAAGUCAGUGGUGAAAGCCAACAGCUCAACUGUUGAACUGCCAUUGAUACUGACGGGCUUGAGUACAGACGAGGUAGGCGGAAUUGAAGAUGUAGCGGUGAAAUGCAUAGAUAUCUUCAAGAACACCGAUUGCGUAGGCAGCUUACUAGGCUGUAACUGACGCUGAGGCACGAAAGCGUGGGGAGCGAACAGGAUUAGAUACCCUGGUAGUCCACGCUGUAAACGAUGAUUACUCGAUGUCGGCGAUAAACUGUCGGCGUCUUAGCGAAAGCGUUAAGUAAUCCACCUGGGGAGUACGCCCGCAAGGGUGAA